RNAcentral lists this ribosomal RNA (366 nucleotides) under Triticum aestivum (bread wheat). RNAcentral's name for it is "partial small subunit ribosomal RNA". The record is from RNAcentral. Lineage: Eukaryota; Viridiplantae; Streptophyta; Magnoliopsida; Poales; Poaceae.
AUGAAAGUUGCUCAGAACGACGAGACGAUUCCGGAUAUGCAGUCCGUUCGUCCGCCACACCCCCCUAACCUAUCGAACCCGCAACUUUCCCCUCCGGCUCCUCUGCCCGAAAACACGAAACACCGGGAAUACUUUCCCGGAUGUUUUCCCCCCUUCACCGGUAUCACCUACUACCGCGUUAGGGCACACCGAACACCGCGUAUUGCCUUGUUAUAUUUUGUGAUGCUUUGUUUGCUCUGUAUUCAUUAUUUCUUCCCCCUCUUCUCUCCGGUAGACUACGAGACCGACGCUGCUGCUGCCCAAUUUGACUACGGAGUUGACGACCCCUCUCUCUUGCCAGAGCAACCAGGCAAGCCCCCCCUUUGA